GAUGAACGCUGGCGGCGUGCUUAACACAUGCAAGUCGAACGGAAAGGCCCAAGCUUGCUUGGGUACUCGAGUGGCGAACGGGUGAGUAACACGUGGGUGAUCUGCCCUGCACUUCGGGAUAAGCCUGGGAAACUGGGUCUAAUACCGGAUAGGACGAUGGUUUGGAUGCCAUUGUGGAAAGUUUUUUCGGUGUGGGAUGAGCUCGCGGCCUAUCAGCUUGUUGGUGGGGUAAUGGCCUACCAAGGCGUCGACGGGUAGCCGGCCUGCGAGGGUGUACGGCCACAUUGGGACUGAGAUACGGCCCAGACUCCGGCGGGAGGCAGCAGGGGGGAAUAUUGCACAAUGGGCGCAAGCCUGAUGCAGCGACGCCGCGUGGGCGAUGACGGCCUUCGGGUUGUAAACUCCUUUCGCUAGGGACGAAGCGUUUUUGUGACGGUACCUGGAGAAGAAGCACCGGCUAACUACGUG
RNAcentral lists this ribosomal RNA (468 nucleotides) under uncultured bacterium. RNAcentral describes it as "partial 16S ribosomal RNA". It matches the Rfam family "Bacterial small subunit ribosomal RNA", at positions 28 to 507 of the family's 1533-position model. The record is from RNAcentral.